AUGGCCCACAUUGCGGCGUUCUUGCUGGUGGCGCUGCUCUCCUUAGACGUGCAUCUCGCGCAGUCCGCGUCGUGCCGAUCAUGCCCGCCGACAAAGCCUUCCCAGCCUCCACCGUGUAAGCACAAGUCUUCACCAUCGUCCAUACCCUGCGCUCCACCUUCACAAACUCCCAUGCCCUCACCAACACCCACACUCACCCCGGUGACUCCGACACCGGCACCGACCCCGACUGUCUUAUCAUACUUAUCGGUUCCAAUAUUAAAGUUUAUGACUAUCACAAGAAUUGUUUGGAUAUUUUCAAAAUAA
Molecule: ribosomal RNA, 306 nt
Filed under: Triticum aestivum (bread wheat)
Lineage: Eukaryota; Viridiplantae; Streptophyta; Magnoliopsida; Poales; Poaceae
Description: partial small subunit ribosomal RNA
Source: RNAcentral